Molecule: ribosomal RNA, 450 nt
Filed under: uncultured bacterium
Lineage: Bacteria
Description: bacterial SSU rRNA
Rfam family: Bacterial small subunit ribosomal RNA
Source: RNAcentral
AACGAACGCUGGCGGCAUGCCUAACACAUGCAAGUCGAACGAGACCUUCGGGUCUAGUGGCGCACGGGUGCGUAACGCGUGGGAAUCUACCCUUGGGUUCGGAAUAACUCAGAGAAAUUUGAGCUAAUACCGGAUGAUGUCGCAAGACCGAAGAUUUAUCGCCCAAGGAUGAGCCCGCGUAGGAUUAGCUUGUUGGUGAGGUAAAAGCUCACCAAGGCGACGAUCCUUAGCUGGUCUGAGAGGAUGAUCAGCCACACUGGGACUGAGACACGGCCCAGACUCCUACGGGAGGCAGCAGUGGGGAAUAUUGGACAAUGGGCGAAAGCCUGAUCCAGCAAUGCCGCGUGAGUGAUGAAGGCCUUAGGGUUGUAAAGCUCUUUUACCCGGGAUGAUAAUGACAGUACCGGGAGAAUAAGCCCCGGCUAACUCCGUGCCAGCAGCCGCGGUAAU